AAAAAAAAAAAUUGCCGCAAAAUGAAGUAAUUGUCAUAGUAAGGAAUUCAGGGGCUGCCUUGUUUGAGAGUUUGAUGACAGAGCAGCCAGGGCAGGUGGGGAGUGAGAGAUGGGUGAUUCAGGCAAUGUCCUCCUUUCUUUCACUUCAGAGAGAAGGAUGCAGGAGCCCCAGAUCUGCGAGGCCAGAGAUCUGGUUCUCAGCCCUAACACUUCCUUCUCCCUUGCUUUCCACCUUUAAUCAGUCAAAAAGUAUUGUUGGGGCUCCUAAAUGUUUUUGCAGCUCUGCCCACAGUCUUUUUUAUUUUUUUUUUUACUGAGAAAUUCUCUUAUUUUAUUCCUUUGUGGUCUUAUUUGUUUACAUACAAAAAAAUCCAUCUGAAAUAUUUCGUUUUUGUUGUUUCAUCCUGUGAGGUAGAAAUCUAAUUGGAUUUUUCUCAGGUUCCCAAGAAGAGUUGUCAGUGCUUCCUUCCUAUCCCUAACACCUGCCCACUCCACCUAGAGCACACCCAAGACACCCCAGAAAUGCACCCAGAGGGGAGACAACCCUUACUUUCAUUCUACUCAAGUUCUUUCCAGUUGCCCAGAAUUCUGUUUCCUUCAGUCAUCUCUAGGUGUCAUCCGAGAGGAGCCUCUGCAGGCUGGAUUUUCAGCACAGACACAGAGGUUUGGCUGGCCUAGGGAAACUGGGAUGCUUGGGGGUCCUGCCCCACCGCCGGUGCCGAGCCUGAGCUCUGCCCCAGUGCCGGGCCCCCAGCUCUGUCUCCUCCCAGCACCUGGGGCCGGGUGAGUGGCCCUCUCGGCAGAGGGGAGCUCCACCCCCAGCGUCCCUCUCCCCAACGAAGGAGAAUUGCCCUCUGUGAUUUUACGUGGAAUCUGCCAGCAAGAGCCGCCUGAGAGACUAGACAAUGGAGCUCUCUGUGUCACUGCAGGAAAGGAGAACAAAAAUGCUGACACUUCAGUGAUUACAUCUGGUAUCCGCAGUCACCCGGGAGCAUCCCAAAGAUGACCCAAUAGAUGAGACGUACCUUUUCUUCAGAGUUUAAAUUAGCUUUCAACUAUCUAAAAGAAUGAAAAACUGCUGUAUUAUCUUCAUCUAAUGACAAAAAUAACAAAUACCCAUUUUAAAAGAAUCAGACAAUGCCAAAAUAAUGACAUUACAAACCAUCCAGCACAAAAUACUUGAAUAUUUUUUCCAGAAUUUGUUCACUGGAUAGGUAUAAAAAUCACUGGUUUGGGUUUUCUGGGAAGCAGAUUCUAAGAUGGAGUUUAUUGUGCAGGACAUUUCUUAAGAACUGUCCUUGGGGUCAACACCUGUGGAAAGAAGGGGAUGAAAGCAGAAACAGGUAGAGAGAGAACUUGAGAUGUGUUGCAACCUUGGCUCACCAGACAGGAAGCUCUGGGGUGAAAAUGGCCCAGCAGAAUUGCUCUCUGUUGAGCUAAAAUGACCGGCCUUAUACCCUUACCUCCAUCAGGAAGUACCCACCCUCCCUGCUCGGGAGGGCAGGACAUUGGGAGAGGUAGCCCUGCAGCUGGGUCAGUUCCUGACCGCGCUGACAGCAACAAGUCCUCUUUUGAAGGGGCAUCUGGGUGGUGCCGCUUCACAUCCAUCACCCAGGCACACACACUAUUAUUUUAAACAAAAAUGUAAUCAUAUCAUCUAUGCUAUUAUGACCCUGAUAUUUUUUAUUUAGCAACACAAUGUAAACAUUUCCUCCAUGACCCCAAAUAUAGAUCACAUUCAUUUUUAAUUACUGCAUAUAUUGCAUUGAAUAGAUGUACAAUACUAACGAAAUCCCUGUUGAAGGGCAUUUGAGAACCUUUCUAUUUUUUUGCUGUUAUGAGUACCUCAGUCAUGAACAUCCUAAUGUAUAUAUCUUUUCACACAUGUCUAAUUGACAUAAAGUAAUUCCCAAAAAUGGAAUGGGCCAAAAGGUAUCCAUAUUUGCAUUUGAAGUGUAGUGCCAAAUUACUCCCCAGAACGCUGUACCAAUUUACCAGAGCACUGAAGAUAAUCAACAUCGAUCUUCUUAAUCUUUGCUAAUCUCAUAGGUGAUAAAUAGCUCAUUGUUUUCUUAAUAACAUUUAUUAGUAAGUAGCCAGGUUAAAUGCUGUUUCAGAUGUUGACAGAUUGUAUCUCUUCAUUUAUUUUUCCUCUCGUGAAUUAUCUGUACCCAUCCUUUGCCCGUUUCUCUCUGGUUUGUGUCUGUUACAUUGAGGAUAUGUACCUGUUUGGUACAUAUAAUAUAACGUUAUUUGCUAGUAUGUCAUCUGUGUCUUAUUUUUUCUUUUCCUUUUUCUUUCUCUUCUUAUUUUAUUUUAUUAAACUAACCAAGUCCAUUUAUCACCUCUUUCAGAGUUCUGGUUUGGGCAUUAUUCCUAACAAAUUUCUCUCUACCCAACUCUACAUAGAUAUUCUCGUGAACUUUCUUCUGGUAAUUUUGUAAAUCCUUACACUUUCAAGUUUUCUAUUAGUAAGUAAUGUAAAAAAUAGACAUUCUCUCCCCAGCCCAUUCCUUAAUCUCAUCUUAUUCCCCAACCGUACUGAAUUACCUAUGAUGGAGAAAAGCUAGGAAGAAAACACAGUCUUUAUAUUUCCAAAUGGUCGUUUUGACGCAACUGCAUCAAGUUGUCUGCUUUAAUGGUCUUCCCUCCAUCAGAAAUGCCCCUGAAUGGUCAGACUUUCCGUUUGGAGUUCAUGGAAGCCCUGCCUCUACCUGCAAUAGGAAUCUGAGCCGGGAAGCAGUGUCCUUUCUGCCUCUAGACUGCGGACCUCAGGCCACCCACCUAGGCACGAGCUAUGGACAAUGGAAAGUGGACAAAAUAAGUUCCAAACUGCAGCAGCUGUCCUAGGCAUUGUUCCUGCUCACCCCCAUCCGAGCUCCACAUUCACCUUUCCUUCUACCCAGUUUCCCAGGCUUCCUAGCUCUGUACCUACAUUUACAAGUUAUCCACUCUGCUUUUCCCUCCUGUUGUUUUUUUAAAACACCUUUAUUGAGGUAUAAUUUACAGACCACAAAAUUCACUCAUUUUUAAUAUACAUUGCAAUGGUUUUUAGUAAAUUUACUGUGUGUGCCACUAUCACCACAAUCCAGUUUUAGGACAUUCCAUCACCCCACUAAGACCUUUUCUGUCCAUUUACAAUUAAUCCCCACUCCCAUCCCCAACCCCAGGCAACCACUAAUCUACUUUCUGUCUCUAUAGAGUGGCCUUUCCUGGACAAUGGAAUCAUAUACCCCUCUAGUUUUGACAUUGCCUCUUAUCUCCAAUGAGAAAUGCCAGAUUGAACUUCAGCUCUGUGGAAACUGACCAGCUAGACAUAGGUUCACAAAACUGAAUGAACAUCAGAAUCGGCCUGUGAUGGGGAAUGCUGCUACACACAGACAGUAAAGAUGACACCCAGUCCUAGAUGUGUUUGCUGAGCACUGAGGACGCUCCCACAAAGUAAGGACGUUGCAGAAUCUCCUGAGAACCCAGAGAGGGCUCAGGCAAGGCUGGAGCUGAGAAAGCAAAUGCAGAGCCUCCACCCCUGCCCAUUUUCCUGCCACGGGCCCCAACUCCAUGUUUCCAGGACUCACUCAUGACCUUCUGUACUGACAGCCCCACAGGGGAAGCUGAAGCCAGACUAUAACCCAGAGAGUCUGUUCAGCUGAUCUCCAAGGAGCGGCAAACCGUCUUCUCCAUACACAGCUAGGCUCGCGUUUUAAAGUCCAAAACCCAAAACCAGGUUACCAACGUGAUGUCACUGAAUUGCUGCUGAUGAACAUGGAGCUGGAGAAGAGAUGCCACAAUCAGCUCCUGGAAGCUGAUUUUCCAGAGCACGUAUCACCGCCUUGCAUAGCACGUUACUUAUCCCCAAGAAAUAUGGUAGCAGGAGGAAAAGCAAGAAAGCAGAGACCGAGAGAGAGGCUGAAGCACGUUAACGCUGACCACUGGAGAGACCAUCCUUCCUCAGCUGCGGAGGACCCCAAAUGCAAACACAAGUGUCCUUAUAAAGGAGAGACAGAGAGAUUUGACAUGCAGAAGAGAAGAUCACGUGACCAUGGAGGCAGAGACUGAAGUGAUGUGGCCACAACCAGGGAGUGCUGGCAGCCACCAGAAGCUGGAAGCAGCAAGGAAUGGAGUCUUCCCAGAACCUCCAGUGGAGUGGCUCUGCUGACACUUUGACUUUGGCCCAGUGAAACUUAUUUUGGACUUCUGGCCUCUAGAACCGUGAGAGAAUAAAUCUCUGUUGUCUGAAGCCACCAAGUUUGUGGCCAGUUGUUUCAGUGGCAUUAAGAAACACUAACCCGGGCUUCCCAGGUGGCGCAGUGCUUGAGAGUCCGCCUGCCGAUGCAGGGGACACGGGUUCGUGCCCCGGUCCGGGAGGA
Molecule: long non-coding RNA, 4367 nt
Organism: Aethalodelphis obliquidens (Pacific white-sided dolphin)
Lineage: Eukaryota; Metazoa; Chordata; Mammalia; Artiodactyla; Delphinidae
Exons: 7
Source: RefSeq, a predicted model, not a curated record